AUCUUUGAACAGAGGGAAAGAAACUGCAACGAAACAGUUCCUGAAUCUAAUUGUUGAUUUGUAAUACCAGCACUCUCUUUAGUUCAAGAUUUCGAGGUCAAGAUGCCCGAGAAUGAAGAAAUGAAACAACGUGUGACACCAUGUCUUCUGUUUGGGCUCGUUUGCUUUUCUUUGGGAGGUAUUUCCCUCACAGGGUAUUUCGUGACUCCCCAUUACGAUCACGGCUCUAGUUUUGGUCAUGAUGAGCCUCACUAUCAGUUUAGCGACAAAGAGGCUGCCUUACCAUUUGGCAUAGUCGUAAUGUCGCUUGGAUUUUUAGUCAUUUUUGCUGUCGCUGUUUGUAAGUGUUGAUAUCGGCAGGAACGGAUCUUUUUUCUUCUCGCUCACUGGAGAUAAACCCAGUAAACUGUUGUGAAAACGAUUGUGUCAUCAACUUGUGACUGAAUUUUUUUGUUUGUAGCUGAUUGGCCAGCAAAACUAACCCUAACCUAAUAUGCAUUACAAAAGUAGUUUGUGCGUUUAGCUGCAUUGGUGCAGGUACCUUUGAAUUUAUUUCAUCUCAUAGCAAAGACCAGAUCAAAACAAAGUCAGGUUACGAGAUAACAACUUUAGUUCUGUGCUUGUUAACCCGAAAAUGUUCUAAAUAAAACAUACACAAUCCAAA
Molecule: RNA transcript, 664 nt
Organism: Stylophora pistillata
Lineage: Eukaryota; Metazoa; Cnidaria; Anthozoa; Scleractinia; Pocilloporidae
Source: RefSeq, a predicted model, not a curated record